AUACGUAGGGGGCGAGCGUUGUCCGGAAUGAUUGGGCGUAAAGGGCGCGUAGGCGGCCCGGUAAGUCUGGAGUGAAAGUCCUGUUUUUGAGAUGGGAAUUGCUUUGGAUACUGUCGGACUUGAGUGCAGGAGAGGUAAGUCGAAUUCCCAGUGUAGCGGUGAAAUGCGUAGAGAUUGGGAGGAACACCAGUGGCGAAGGCGACUUACUGGACUGUAACUGACGCUGAGGCGCGAAAGUGUGGGGAGCAAACAGGAUUAGAUACCCUGGUAGUCCACACUGUAAACGAUGAAUGCUAGGUGUAGGGGGUAUCGACCCCUUCUGUGCCGCAGUCAACACAAUAAGCAUUCCGCCUGGGGAGUACGGCCGCAAGGUUGAAACUCAAAUGAAUUGACGGGG
This 397-nucleotide ribosomal RNA is filed under the name uncultured bacterium. RNAcentral's name for it is "partial 16S ribosomal RNA". It matches the Rfam family "Bacterial small subunit ribosomal RNA", at positions 523 to 918 of the family's 1533-position model. The record is from RNAcentral.